CCUACGGGGAGCAGCAGUGGGGGAUAUUGCACAAUGGGGGAAACCCUGAUGCAGCGACGCCGCGUGUGGGAAGACGGUCCUCUGGAUUGUAAACCACUGUCCCCAGGGACGAAAAUGACGGUACCUGGGGAGGAAGCUCCGGAUAACUACGGGCCAGCAGCCGCGGUAAUACGUAGGGAGCGAGCGUUGUCCGGAAUUACUGGGUGUAAAGGGAGCGUGGGCGGGGAUGCAAGUUGGGUGUAAAAACUACCGGCUCAACUGGUAGUCGCACUCAAAACUGCAGCUCUGGAGUGAAGUAGAGGCAGGCGGAAUUCCUAGUGUAGCGGUGAAAUGCGUAGAUAUUAGGAGGAACACCAGUGGCGAAGGCGGCCUGCUGGGCUUUUACUGACGCCGAGGCUCGAAAGUGUGGGGAGCAAACAGGAUUAGAUACCCCUGUAGUC
This 440-nucleotide ribosomal RNA is filed under the name uncultured bacterium. RNAcentral describes it as "partial 16S ribosomal RNA". It matches the Rfam family "Bacterial small subunit ribosomal RNA", at positions 338 to 795 of the family's 1533-position model. The record is from RNAcentral.